CAACCUUGUCAUUUGAAAUCAGGUGCUAUUGCUAAAUUUAUCUCUAACAGAUCAGACUUUUAGAAUUUUAAAAUUUGUUCCAAUCUCUCUCUGCCUGCUCAAAAUGAACUAAUUAUACUUCAUGACGCGCCUCAUAAGUUUCAGCUCAACAAUGAAUCUAACCGCAUCCAAUGGGUGCUUUUUCCACUGCGUUCGCGGUAUCCAUUCAUCACCUCAAGAGGUGUUAAACGGGAACCGCCUUGCUCCUUUUGGAAACCUAGUGCUCCUUUUCUAGUAAUAAACUAAACACAAGGGA
Molecule: long non-coding RNA, 295 nt
Filed under: Elaeis guineensis (African oil palm)
Lineage: Eukaryota; Viridiplantae; Streptophyta; Magnoliopsida; Arecales; Arecaceae
Description: long non-coding RNA (EGUI_LNC034241)
Source: RNAcentral